RNAcentral lists this ribosomal RNA (1066 nucleotides) under uncultured Sphingobacterium sp. RNAcentral's name for it is "bacterial SSU rRNA". It matches the Rfam family "Bacterial small subunit ribosomal RNA", at positions 427 to 1503 of the family's 1533-position model. Lineage: Bacteria; Pseudomonadati; Bacteroidota; Sphingobacteriia; Sphingobacteriales; Sphingobacteriaceae. The record is from RNAcentral.
CUCGCUUUCAUGUCUAGGAAUAACCCUUGGUACGUGUACCGAGCUGAAUGUACUAGAAGGAAUAAGGAUCGGCUAACUCGUGCUAGCAGUCCGCGGUAAUACGGAGGAUCCGAGCGUUAUCCGGAUUUAUUGGGUUUAAAGGGUGCGUAGGCGGCCUGUUAAGUCAGGAGUGAAAUACGGCAGCUCAACUGUCGCAGUGCUCUUGAUACUGAUGGGCUUGAAUAUCGCUGAAGAUGGCGGAAUGAGACAAGUAGCGGUGAAAUGCAUAGAUAUGUCUCAGAACACCGAUUGCGAAGGCAGCUGUCUAAACGAUUAUUGACGCUGAUGCACGAAAGCGUGGGGAUCAAACAGGAUUAGAUACCCUGGUAGUCCACGCCCUAAACGAUGAUAACUCGAUGUUAGCGAUAUACUGUUAGCGUCCAAGCGAAAGCGUUAAGUUAUCCACCUGGGGAGUACGCCCGCAAGGGUGAAACUCAAAGGAAUUGACGGGGGCCCGCACAAGCGGAGGAGUAUGUGGUUUAAUUCGAUGAUACGCGAGGAACCUUACCCGGGCUCGAAAGUUAGUGAAGGUAGCAGAGACGCUACCGUCCUUCGGGACACGAAACUAGGUGCUGCAUGGCUGUCGUCAGCUCGUGCCGUGAGGUGUUGGGUUAAGUCCCGCAACGAGCGCAACCCCUAUGUUUAGUUGCCAGCACAUUAUGGUGGGGACUCUAAACAGACUGCCUGCGCAAGCAGUGAGGAAGGCGGGGACGACGUCAAGUCAUCAUGGCCCUUACGUCCGGGGCUACACACGUACUACAAUGGAUGGUACAGCGGGCAGCUAGACAGCAAUGUCAUGCUAAUCUCUAAAAGCCAUUCACAGUUCGGAUCGGGGUCUGCAACUCGACCCCGUGAAGUUGGAUUCGCUAGUAAUCGCGUAUCAGCAAUGACGCGGUGAAUACGUUCCCGGGCCUUGUACACACCGCCCGUCAAGCCAUGAAAGUUGGGGGUGCCUAAAGCAUGUAACCGCAAGGAGCGUGUUAGGGCAAAACCGAUAAUUGGGGCUAAGUCGUAACAAGGUAGCCGU